UUAUGGAGACAGAUGCAAAUCAGAAUGUUGACAGGGAAAAACUUAAACUUGGCAAGACUAUCAAAAUUUAAAAGCUCCAAUUUGGUUACUAUGAAUUUUGGCACUUUAAAAACAUUAACCAAAUGAAAUUCUGCAGCCUUUCACCAUUUAUUCUUACAGUGAUUUCUUUGUAAUUUUUCAUCAGUCAUAUUAUUUAGAGGAAAUUCAGUUUCUGACUUCAGUGAUUUUGUUUUUUCCUAACUGAUUUUCUCUGCUAGUGUUUUUUUUUUAAACAUAUGCCUGUUUUAAUUUAUCCUUUUAUUUUGGUGGAAUUUUUUUUCCACUACCAUGUUUAAAUAGGUUUGCAUCAUAGUGAACACUUACUGUGCCUAAGUGAUAUAGAGUCACUGAGAAGGUAACUGACUAAGUCAGAAUCUGUACCUUGGGGGCUUGAUGGGCAUUGCCAGGAUUGACUGCAGAGAAUGUUGGGCUCCCUACGUUCAUAGCCAAGAUUGACACAUUGCUCACAUUUCACAUCAGAGCGCUUAGUUGAAAUUUAUGUAUUUAGUGAGAAGCUACAUAUAGUUCCAAGAAUUCUAGCAUUAUAUUGGUAUUUAGGUAGCUAAAUAUAAUAAUACCUCUGUUUAUGAACUUCUCUAUUUGCAGACAAUUCACUUUGCAGACAAAAGUGUUAGGCAAAAUUUUACUUUCAUUUGGAAACUUCACAUUGGGUGACAAACACGACUAUGCCCAUCUUCUCCACACACAAAUUCAGCCAUCUUCCCCAAAAUCAUAAAACAAGUUUGUCAACCAGGGUACCACUGUAUAUGUCCAUUACUACUUAAAAAUUUGUUCAUUUUGGCUUGGUCCCAAAUUGAAAAACCUCGAUGAUGCUUUAGACACAUUAAUUAGUGAGAUACAAUUUGCUUAGUUUAUUUGGAGCUUCAGCCUCAUUCCCAUGUCUUUUUCCCAAUGGAAUAUAUUACUUUCAACCAGAAAUAAACUAGAUCUCAAAUACUAUUUUCAGGGCUUGUAUUUCAUGAGAAAUGAUUUGAUUUGCAAGUCACCUCUCAAGUGCAUUUGCAUUUUAUUUUUUGAAAUGACAGAGACCUUGCAUGACCAGAUUGAUUAAUUCAGAGUAUAUCACUGUCUUACUCAAGCAAAGGAAUUCAGAGUUGGGUAGCUACCUCUGUGCUAAAGCUGACAAGACAACAUUAACCUUUACCAGGGUCAUCUUUUUUAGAUGUAGUUUUCCAUUUAUACUAAAACUGACCUGUCCAUGCCUAAUAAAAACUAAUAGGAAACUUGAGAAGUUUAAGUUACUGGUUUGUCCUAGAAAAUCCAAUCAAAUUUAGGCCUUAGUGAUUUAAGCUUAUAAAAUGCACUCUUGAGUGAAAUAUACAUAUUGUAUAUACAUGGUUGGCAGCUUUUCAUUCCAGUGGGUCUUUUCACAUCUGCCUUAAAAGUGAUAUUUAGAGCUCCAUCUUAACAGAGUUUCACUUAAUAAAAAAGGAUUUUAAAAUCUAACCAACAACUACAAACUUACAAAUCGUAGCAUUUAGUGGGAGAGUAAGAAUGAUGCUUAAUGGAUCAAAAAGUUGUACUCAGUUUCAUGGUAAUUAUACAGAGAAAUUACUUUUAAAUUGUUCUUAACAUGGCAUGGACUUCAUUGGGUAAUUGUGGGUCAUUUGAUUAUUUUAUGAAUGAAAGUUGCAUGAAGUCCUUAGCUGGUUGAGUGUUGUAUAAACAGUUGAAAACUACAGUUUGAGGUAAUUUCUGUGGGAAGGACCAUUACAGUAUGUAACAGUGUAAACAGACAUGUAGCUAUUCAAAAUAUGCCCUUCCUUAACACCUAUUUUCUGAAAAAUCCUUAUUCAUCCACAAUCUCAUUCCUUUGCAGUAAUUCUUGACUGAAUUUUCACUAAGUUUUAACUAGUCCUUGCUCUUAAGAUGUGCUGACUGGCCUCAGAAAAAGUCUCUGGUUGUUGUUGGAGUAUCUUAGAGGUCUGUAUGUGAUCAUACUUGUAUGUUUUUGGGCUCUCUAAUGCAAAGAUUUUUGUUUUCCAUGUAUUAUUCUUUUGUGGCUUUUGACUGUGGCUUAUAUCUCCCAUGUGAUUUGUCUUAAUGUUAAAAUGACUUUGUUAUCCAAAUCUUCUAGUCUAGAGGUAUGUCAGUUGAAGGUUGGGGUUUCCAAGUUUGUUGAAAUCACAUGGAACUGACUAGCUCAUCUGAAUAACAUUGCCACAGUUUUGUUUUAUAACUCAUUGCUGUUUCUUAAUUUCUUUACCAAAUGCUCAUUUUGUUUUUCCUCAAUAAAUGCUAUCUCAGAGAUUUUAUUUAUAUAUGACUUUUUAACCUUGAGUUCUCCAAAUACUGUGAAUUGUGUUUCCAUUUAUUUUUCUUAGCUAACUUUUUUUAUUUUUAAUUUCUUUUUAUUUACUUUUUUUGUUACUGGGGAUUGAACUUGGGACCUUGUGCUUGUGAGGCAGGUGCCAGAACCACUGAGCUAAAUCCCCGGCCCUUCAUUUCAUUUUUUUGAGACGGUCUCACUGUGUGGUUCAGGCUGGCUUGAACUCACUGUGUAGUCCAGGCAGGCCUCAAACUUGUGGCGAUCCUCCUGCCUCAGCCUCCUGAGUACUGGGAUUACAGGCAUGCGCCAUCAGGCCCGGCUAUUCUUGACUUUUUUUAGCCCCAGACUUCAUUGACUUUCUGUAGCAUUGCUUAGGACCAUUUUACUGCUUGAAAAAAAAUCAGGUCAGAAUCAUUCUUAAGCAAACAUGGUCAUCAUCCCUGUUUAUGACAAGCAAUAAUAGUGAAAUUAAAAAUUAUAUGUUAUUGAAUAACAUUUAGAUAUUGCUAUAAAAACGUAUGCAUCAUUUUUAUUUGGAGAUAGUUAUAAUGGCUGCGGCAGCUUUAAUAAAGGAGCCUGUGAUGGUUUCUUUUCCUGGCACUGGGAAUUAAUUGUCAUAAAGAGAGCUCAUGGAAAAUUCAGUAUAACUCCAGAAUUUCCAUUUGCCUAUUGUCUUUUUAUUGUUUUUAGCCUUUUUUUCUGUUCCUACUUCCCAUAAAUAGCAUUGAUUUUCUGCUGAUGUUGGGAUUUAUAUUAAGAAUUGGCUUUCAAUUUCUGAUAUAGUUGAAUAUUAAGAAUAGCUUUCAUUAGUGACUAUGAAAUGAUUGGUUUUUUUCCUUAAAUAAAAACAAGUAUAUGAGUGUCUCUUCCCCUCAAGAAUAUGACUAGACCUAAUUCUGAAUAACUAAAUCUCAUUCUCAGUUAUACAACCAGUGAUAAAAUCACCCAACAGUAGCUUUCAUAGCCCUUAACCUAAGGAGUCAUUAGAGGUUACAGUAAAUUAGAUUUUCUAGUGUCACAGAGAGAAAUGCCCUUUUGGGAAACUAUCACUUGUCUUUUUCUGUCAAAUCUUGAACUGGUUCCCAAUUCACAACUUAGCACAAAAAGCAAAGUAGUUUAUCUUCUAUUUUACAAUUGUUAUUUGGAAAUUAAGUUUGCUUAUAUACACUCAUGUCCCCAAACGCUGCCAAUCUUCCUUGAAUUUUUUGUGGAUAUCACCUGAGCACUACGACGUCAACAAGAAAAAAGAUGGCAGGGAGCUAAGCGGGGUGUUUGAUAGGGAAGGAGACUAGUUCUACGAAAUCACUUAAAAUUAUGAAUCUUAUGUCUUUUGUUUAUCUGCUCUUCAUACAGCCUUGGUGAACUAUUACACACUUGUGUGCAGUGUCCUGUUUUGCCUAUCUAAGGCAUUUUGACUUGGAAGUAUUGAACCUCAGGAACAAAUCUAGAAGGGAGAUUGGGAAUAUGUUGGGAAAAGAAUAAUGGAAACUUUUGGCUUAUGGAUUUGACAGUUCAUAAAUCUAAAUGAAACAGAAAGCUCUUCAUUUUUUAACCCUGAAUAAUUUUAUUUAUGCAGCACAGGAAAAAGACUCCCAAAAAAGGAUCAAAGUUUAAUUUUCUAGAAUAUUCGGGUUAGUCUUUGGAAUGCAUUUCUCUUCUAGUAGUUGUAAGAGACUUUAAAACAGAAAACCUUAUAUAAUCAACUCUAGAUCUCAAAUAGGUAAGCAGCUUUUUUUGUAGAUCUAGUUCCUUGAUAAGUGCAAAGUGAAAAUCAACAAUAAAACAUUUUCACAUGCAGUUAUUUGGCUCCCAGAGGACUCACUUAGAUAGCUCUGGAUAUUCUAGGUUGCCAGUCUCAGGAGAUCACCCUUGUUCAGUUUCAUUCACUACUUAAUGAAUGCAAAAUUAAUGGCCAGGGAGGAGAAACGUUGUGUGUGUGAUAUAUGGAACAGGCCCAUGUACAUAAUUAAGGAAUUGCAAUGUGGUCAGUUUUGAGCUUUCUCUCUCUCUCUCUUACUAGCAAAUCUCAAAAAAGUCUUUCUUAAAGUUUUACUAGUGCCGUUGGAUUGGUUUUCAUUUACUAGCCCUUUAAAAUAGGAAGAAAGGCUAAGUGUGGUGGCAAACUCCUGUAGUCCCAGCAUGUGGGAGACUGAGGCAAGAGGAUUGCUGCGAGUUUGAGGCUAGCCUGGACUACAUAAUAAGUUCAAGGCCAGCCUAAAAUACUUAGUGAGACCCUGUCUCAAAAAGUUAAAUAGGAAGAAAAUUUCCAUUUCAUAUAAAACUUAUAAUCCAUACAGAAUUGAACUUACAUUAGUUUUCAUGCCUUAAAAUAAGUUAAUCAUAUAUACAAUACCAGAGAUUUCUGUAUUCUGCUUUGCCAAGAAGUCCAUGAGUCCUAGAUGUUAGAGAUAUGUAAUAAUUUUGGCUUAUUCUUUAGGUUUUCUCCUCAUUUGUAAAGUGAUGGAUUAAAUUAGAGAUGGUAUGUAGAAUAAGCCCCAAUUUCAUUACAACUGGCAAAGCUUUACAAAUUGAAUUGCCAUAACAGAGAGCUAUGCUAGCCCUUAUUUCCAAAUGACCAUGUAGCAUGUUGCUUUUUAGUGCUGGAUUUACUUCUGUUUCCUUAUUUGUGGUAUUGGGGAUCCUUGCACAUGGCUAGACAAGCACUGUACUGCUGAGCUACACACCCACCCUUGUAUUUACCUUCUUGAAAUGCAAAGGGGAACACUGAGGACAGAAAUGUGUGGCUUUGCAUUGUUAAUUACCUGUUUUGGGAGUCCUAAGGUAUUUCUAUCUUUGUAAAGCUUAGCUUAAUUUUACAUAUACUGUACAUGUUAGCUUUGCUUGUAAAAGCACUGAAUACAAAGAUGUAAGACACAACAGAGUAAUGUCAGCCCAGCUCCAGAUUUGAUUAAUAGUAUGUCAGAGUCAAAAAUAUUAGGUUAAAUAUAAGUAGUCUUCUAUAAGGGAAGACAUACUUUUUAAAAAAUUAUGUAAUCUCCUUCAGAUUUUUUUCUCAAAAAAAUGAUCUUGACUGACCAGUUAUAAACUAUUUUCUUCCUCAAUUGUAAGCCAUUUAUUUAGAAACAUAAAAAUGGAUUUCUAUUUCUAUUAAGCCUGGGCAAGAGAUGCUCAUUCUGUUACUCAUUAAGCCAGCCUACCUUUUUAACUUCUGUUAAAUGUCUUUUGAAAUAAAUUAGAUUGUAUAGUAUUAAUUGUCCUUUAUAUAAAUGAAGCCUUCAGCUCAAUUGAGAUUGCAUAAUUCUGUGAGCAGACUUCUUUGUGGAAAAAAAAAAAAUAUAUAUAUAUAUAUAUUUUUUUUUUUUUUAAUUUUCCUUCUAAUAAAUUGCUUCCCUUACCACCACUCCAAACGUACAGUCUUCAGCCUCAGACGAAUAGUACAGGAAACCUAAGUUGAGAACCUCUUUUUCUUAUCUUAUUCUUGCCGGUAGACUGAAUGUUCCAUAUUUCCAAAGUGACAUAUUUAUAAGCAGCGUGGGAAAGAUGUUAGAAUUUUUAAAAAGUUAACUCAUAAAUUAGAAGUACUUGGUGGCCAGAAAUUAAGAUCCCUUUGUUAGAGAAAGAUCUUUAAAACCAAAGUUGGACUGGAAAUUAGAUUGAGAAGAACAAUACAGCUUUACCCAUAGCCAGCAGAACCUUGUCUUUCCAGGCCUGCUCCUCAGCACUGCGGAGAGCUGCUGCCUUCUGAGGGCAGCUCCUGGGCUGGAAAUGUGCUAAUAGCAUCGGCUCACUUUAAGGUUGGAAAGUGUUAUUAUCCUUUAUGGGUCUUUGCCUUUCCCAGAAAAAUAGGAACUUACUAAAUGUAAAGAAGGAAAGCUCUUGUUGAUGAUACCUCUUCAUUUUCUUUUUCCUAACCUCUCAGCAAAAAUGGUAAAGAUCAGAAAAGGUUAAAAAAACAAAAAAAGUUAUUAGACCUUUUCUCAUUUUCUCCUACCACUUUAUAUGUAGGAAAGACCAGGUUGCAAUUGUACGUCCCCAACCUUAUAUUCCUUAAGCAUUACCCUUUUCUAGACAGUCUAAAAAUAAUUCUGUUGAUAAGUGUCUUUAAGCCUGAACAACAGAUAUAAGAUGGUAACCAGCAGCUGUGGAGAGCUGACUUGUUCAAGUCAUUGAAAAUUUCACCCCUAAAACUCACUGGAAUUUUAAAGCUCAUUAGGCACCACUAUGUAUGAAGCAUAUUGAUGAGGAGCCACUUUUUGUGAUGCACUUUUUUAUAAGGCCAUAAUUAAACCCACACUAAGAGAAUGAGCUAACUUUUCUAAGGCUCAAAGCACAGCAAAAGAAAUUGUCAAAUGAACAUAAAUGUAAGGCUUAGUCUGUGAAAUAAGAAUUCCUUAUCAUACUUAAGUAAAUGUCUCAAAAAAAACCUUGUUUUUCCAUAAAUACCAGCUAAGAUUCAGAAGUUUGCACCCCAGUAAUAUCUCACAUGAGACUCCUUCUCUUAGGAUGUGGAAAAGAAAAAACACCUUAUUAGUUCUCUUCUUUCCUUUACCCGCUCUUGUGUGGUGUUGUGGGCCUAAACUGUGUCCUGAAGUACUUGAGUCAGAAAUGGCCCACUGGAAAACUAGGUGGAGCAUUUAAACAGAGUGCUCUUUGGGUAGCAGGUCUUGGAUCUCUUUCAACAUCAUUGUUUUAGGUUACUGUUAGGCUGAGUUUUAUCUGGAGUCAUCCCUCUCAGAUCCUCUGAUUUGCCUUUUGUCCAAUCCAUAUGGAUUUUUUAGGAUUUUUCUUCUUUAGUACAAGUAAUUUUCUGAUCCCAGGUUUGGUACAUAUGUUAUCUUGUGAAUAAAUAAUGAGUGAUCUGCUGGACAAUUGCAGUUGUAGAAUUAUGUUGUAUGUAAUGUACAUAUGGAGAAAGAAUGUAUUUUGUUCAUUUUCUUAAUAAAAAAUUAUAUAUAGACACUACAGAA
This is a long non-coding RNA of Heterocephalus glaber (naked mole-rat), 7257 nucleotides long. Lineage: Eukaryota; Metazoa; Chordata; Mammalia; Rodentia; Bathyergidae. The record is from Ensembl.